Molecule: transfer RNA, 75 nt
Filed under: Rhizoctonia solani AG-1 IB
Lineage: Eukaryota; Fungi; Basidiomycota; Agaricomycetes; Cantharellales; Ceratobasidiaceae
Description: tRNA-Arg
Rfam family: tRNA
About the family: Transfer RNA (tRNA) molecules are approximately 80 nucleotides in length. Their secondary structure includes four short double-helical elements and three loops (D, anti-codon, and T loops).
Source: RNAcentral
GGGCGCGUAGUGGAGUGGUUACCACGUUGGUCUUCGAUGAACCAAAGUUCGUCGGUUCGAUCCCGGCCGUGCUCA